UCUCUUACCUUAGCCAAACUAUAUCACCUGACUCGGUCUCAAGUCAAUCAUCUACAGCUUACCACCUUUACUUGACUUAGCCAUCUGGCGGCGAAAUUGUUGCACAUGCCAACUGUAACAUACCGGAUUUUAAUAUAAAAGUAAAAUAAAUAAAUAAAUAAAAAAAAAUAGUGUGAGAUACUAUUUUUAUUGGAUUUAGAGAAGUGAAAUAUAAGUCUGGAAUGACUCGUGCUGAAAUCGGAACGAAAACAGAAGAUUUAGAAUUUUCUGUGCGAAACGGGACUGAUAUUUUAGUAGAAAAUGCACAGUGUUAAAAAAUUAUGAAAACUGGAGAAUAUAUCAGAAUUAUUUUUAUGAGACUAGAUUUAAAAUUUCAUGUCAUUCUGACACCCGGAAGGUGGAAAAUAAAAUCCGACUGCUAUCUGCUAGAGAUUAUAGUUCUUCGGUAGAGUUUUCGGUGACCAAAUGUGGUCGAAAUUGAAAGAUUAAAAUUUCUUUCGUUAAGUUAAGUAAAACCAAGCCUGGCUGUCGAGUUUGAGCUCUAACGAAUAUUCAGAAGGGCAGGCGAAAAAUAUCUGUACCUGAGCUACAAACUGAAGUGAAUAGUACUGUUGAGGGUGUUAAUUAUAAAAGAAGCAUUUGCUUCUUCUUCU
Molecule: long non-coding RNA, 653 nt
Filed under: Ananas comosus (pineapple)
Lineage: Eukaryota; Viridiplantae; Streptophyta; Magnoliopsida; Poales; Bromeliaceae
Description: long non-coding RNA (ACOM_LNC032644)
Source: RNAcentral